Molecule: small nucleolar RNA, 138 nt
Filed under: Ornithorhynchus anatinus (platypus)
Lineage: Eukaryota; Metazoa; Chordata; Mammalia; Monotremata; Ornithorhynchidae
Source: RNAcentral
UCCCCCUCAGGGUUGCAGCUGGAGAGUUUCCAGUCCUCUACCAGUCUCGACUAUGGGAGGGAGAGUCAAGCAGAUGCCUAUCCAUUCCAUUCCUAGUUUGGGCAGUGGCUAGUGAGUGGAAGGCAAUCUGCUACAAGU